UCCUACGGGAGGCAGCAGUGGGGAAUCUUGCGCAAUGGGCGAAAGCCUGACGCAGCAACGCCGCGUGGGGGAUGAAGGCCCUCGGGUUGUAAACCCCUUUCAGCAGGGACGAAUCUGACGGUACCUGCAGAAGAAGCCCCGGCCAACUACGUGCCAGCAGCCGCGGUAAUACGUAGGGGGCUAGCGUUGUCCGGAUUUAUUGGGCGUAAAGAGCUCGUAGGCGGCUUGGCAAGUCGGGUGUGAAACCUCCAGGCUCAACCUGGAGACGCCACUCGAUACUGCCAUGGCUAGAGUCCGGUAGGGGACCACGGAAUUCCUGGUGUAGCGGUGAAAUGCGCAGAUAUCAGGAGGAACACCGGUGGCGAAGGCGGUGGUCUGGGCCGGCACUGACGCUGAGGAGCGAAAGCGUGGGUAGCAAACAGGAUUAGAUACCCUGGUAGUCCACGCCGUAAACGUUGGGCACUAGGUGUGGGGCCUUAUCAACGGGUUCCGUGCCGUAGCUAACGCAUUAAGUGCCCCGCCUGGGGAGUACGGCCGCAAGGCUAAAACUCAAAUGAAUUGACGGAAUCGAAUUCCCG
RNAcentral lists this ribosomal RNA (578 nucleotides) under uncultured bacterium. RNAcentral describes it as "bacterial SSU rRNA". It matches the Rfam family "Bacterial small subunit ribosomal RNA", at positions 337 to 931 of the family's 1533-position model. The record is from RNAcentral.